AAAAAACUAUUUUCUUUCAUUACCACUCUGAAACAAUUGCAAUUGGUUGUUUCACCUGGUUGCUUUCAUCAUGAUUGGCUAAUCUGACUGUCAUCCACGAAACUGGCCAAUGACAAAAGUGCGCGCCUUCUUACUAGUCAGGUUUGAAAAUAUACGUCAGUUUGGUGGUGUGUUUGCUACUGAUCCGCGAGAUAACUCGGUCACUCAGUUCCUGAUUAUGUGCCUGUUAAAUUCUUAUUUUAAACUAAUAUGAGCUGUGACAUGUCAACGGAGAACAGAAGCUGGAGUGUGAACACAGAGACUGCGUGUGAGGUCCUGCAAACAUAUGGCAAUAUCAGAUCAAGCACACGUUUUUCAGGGAAAACAGGCACCCAACACAGAGACUACAGUGGCACAAAAAAAGGGGAAUAGAACUUGUCACCAUCAUCAGUCCUUUAUUUAAUUCACUGGAGAACAUCACAACCUUCAGAUGUGUCAUAUCAGGAUAAAUGCUGCUGCAGGGAAAAUUAUAUGAA
This is a long non-coding RNA of Sinocyclocheilus grahami, 515 nucleotides long. RefSeq lists it as uncharacterized. The record is from RefSeq and is a predicted model, not a curated record. NCBI's taxonomy places the organism in Eukaryota, Metazoa, Chordata, Actinopteri, Cypriniformes, Cyprinidae. The transcript is spliced from 3 exons.